UACCACAUCCAAGGAAGGCAGCAGGCGCGCAAAUUACCCACUCCCGGCACGGGGAGGUAGUGACGAAAAAUAACGAUACGGGACUCAUCCGAGGCCCCGUAAUCGGAAUGAGUACACUCUAAACCCUUUAACGAGGAUCAAUUGGAGGGCAAGUCUGGUGCCAGCAGCCGCGGUAAUUCCAGCUCCAAUAGCGUAUAUUAAAGUUGUUGCGGUUAAAAAGCUCGUAGUCGAAUCUGUGUCUCGCGCCGCCGGUUCAUCGCUCGCGGUGUCAACUGGCGUGUCGCGGGACGUCCUGCCGGUGGACUUAGCCUUUCGGGGCGGUCCAACUUGAAAUCCCACCGCGGUGCUCUUCACUGAGUGUCGAGGUGGGCCGGCACGUUUACUUUGAACAAAUUAGAGUGCUUAAAGCAGGCUAAAACUUCGCCUGAAUAUUGUGUGCAUGGAAUAAUGGAAUAGGACCUCGGUUCUAUUUUGUUGGUUUUCGGAACCCCGAGGUAAUGAUUAAUAGGAACGGAUGGGGGCAUUCGUAUUGCGACGUUAGAGGUGAAAUUCUUGGAUCGUCGCAAGACGGACAGAAGCGAAAGCAUUUGCCAAAAACGCUUUCAUUGAUCAAGAACGAAAGUUAGAGGUUCGAAGGCGAUCAGAUACCGCCCUAGUUCUAACCAUAAACGAUGCCAGCUAGCGAUCCGCCGACGUUCCUCCGAUGACUCGGCGGGCAGCUUCCGGGAAACCAAAGCUUUUGGGUUCCGGGGGAAGUAUGGUUGCAAAGCUGAAACUUAAAGGAAUUGACGGAAGGGCACCACCAGGAGUGGAGCCUGCGGCUUAAUUUGACUCAACACGGGAAACCUCACCAGGCCCGGACACCGGAAGGAUUGACAGAUUGAGAGCUCUUUCUUGAUUCGGUGGGUGGUGGUGCAUGGCCGUUCUUAGUUGGUGGAGCGAUUUGUCUGGUUAAUUCCGAUAACGAACGAGACUCUAGCCUGCUAACUAGGCGUAUUUUCGACAUCUCAAAGGCCCGCCGGCCCGGCGCUUUGCGUCGCGGUCGCGCGCGGUUUUUACUGUCGGCGUACAAUCAAUUCUUCUUAGAGGGACAGGCGGCUCCUAGCCGCACGAGAUUGAGCAAUAACAGGUCUGUGAUGCCCUUAGAUGUUCUGGGCCGCACGCGCGCUACACUGAAGGAAUCAGCGUGUCCUCCCUGGCCGAGAGGCCCGGGUAACCCGCUGAACCUCCUUCGUGCUAGGGAUUGGGGCUUGCAAUUGUUCCCCAUGAACGAGGAAUUCCCAGUAAGCGCGAGUCAUAAGCUCGCGUUGAUUACGUCCCUGCCCUUUGUACACACCGCCCGUCGCUACUACCGAUUGAAUGAUUUAGUGAGGUCUUCGGACCGGUACGCGGUGGCGCUUCCGCGUCGCCGAUGUUGCUGGGAAGAUGACCAAA
Molecule: ribosomal RNA, 1434 nt
Filed under: Amphiops sp. SLE0408
Lineage: Eukaryota; Metazoa; Arthropoda; Insecta; Coleoptera; Hydrophilidae
Description: SSU rRNA
Rfam family: Eukaryotic small subunit ribosomal RNA
Source: RNAcentral